UACGUAGGGUGCAAGCGUUGUCCGGAAUUAUUGGGCGUAAAGAGCUCGUAGGCGGUUUGUCGCGUCUGCUGUGAAAACUCGGGGCUCAACUCCGAGCUUGCAGUGGGUACGGGCAGACUAGAGUGCGGUAGGGGAGACUGGAAUUCCUGGUGUAGCGGUGGAAUGCGCAGAUAUCAGGAGGAACACCGGUGGCGAAGGCGGGUCUCUGGGCCGUAACUGACGCUGAGGAGCGAAAGUGUGGGGAGCGAACAGG
RNAcentral lists this ribosomal RNA (253 nucleotides) under uncultured bacterium. Its description in RNAcentral is "partial 16S ribosomal RNA". It matches the Rfam family "Bacterial small subunit ribosomal RNA", at positions 524 to 776 of the family's 1533-position model. The record is from RNAcentral.